GGUCCGGUAGUUCAGUUGGUUAGAACGCCUGCCUGUCACGCAGGAGGUCGUGGGUUCGAGUCCCAUCCGGAUCG
This 74-nucleotide transfer RNA is filed under the name Bacteroidota bacterium. RNAcentral's name for it is "tRNA-Asp". It matches the Rfam family "tRNA". From Rfam's summary of the family: Transfer RNA (tRNA) molecules are approximately 80 nucleotides in length. Their secondary structure includes four short double-helical elements and three loops (D, anti-codon, and T loops). RNAcentral also lists the same sequence under 5 other names. Lineage: Bacteria; Pseudomonadati; Bacteroidota. The record is from RNAcentral.